RNAcentral lists this ribosomal RNA (502 nucleotides) under uncultured bacterium. Its description in RNAcentral is "bacterial SSU rRNA". It matches the Rfam family "Bacterial small subunit ribosomal RNA", at positions 791 to 1299 of the family's 1533-position model. The record is from RNAcentral.
UAGUCCACGCCGUAAACGAUGGAUACUAGCUGUUCGGACUUCGGUCUGAGUGGCUAAGCGAAAGUGAUAAGUAUCCCACCUGGGGAGUACGUUCGCAAGAAUGAAACUCAAAGGAAUUGACGGGGGCCCGCACAAGCGGUGGAGCAUGUGGUUUAAUUCGAUGAUACGCGAGGAACCUUACCAGGGCUUAAAUGUAAUAUGACAGGGAUAGAGAUAUCCUUUUCUUCGGACAGAUUACAAGGUGCUGCAUGGUUGUCGUCAGCUCGUGCCGUGAGGUGUCAGGUUAAGUCCUAUAACGAGCGCAACCCCUGUUGUUAGUUGCCAGCGAGUAAUGUCGGGAACUCUAACAAGACUGCCGGUGCAAACCGUGAGGAAGGUGGGGAUGACGUCAAAUCAUCACGGCCCUUACGUCCUGGGCUACACACGUGCUACAAUGGUAGGUACAGAGAGCAGCCACUGCGUGAGCAGGAGCGAAUCUAUAAAACCUAUCACAGUUCGGAUC